GACGAACGCUGGCGGCGUGCUUAAUACAUGCAAGUCGAACGGAAAGGCCCGGCUUUUGCGGGGUGCUCGAGUGGCGAACGGGUGAGUAACACGUGAGUAACCUGCCCUUGUCUUUGGGAUAACUUCAGGAAACUGGGGCUAAUACCGGAUAGGAUCUCCUGCUGCAUGGUGGGGGUUGGAAAGUGUCGGCGGUUGGGGAUGGACUCGCGGCUUAUCAGCUUGUUGGUGGGGUAGUGGCUUACCAAGGCUUUGACGGGUAGCCGGCCUGGGAGGGUGACCGGCCACAUUGGGACUAAGAUACGGAGCAGAAUCGUACGGGAGGCAGCAGUGGAGAAUCUUGCACAAUGGGCGGAAGCCUGAUGCAGCAACGCCGCGUGCGGGAUGACGGCCUUCGGGUUGUAAACCGAUUUCGCCUGUGACGAAGCGUGAGUGACGGUAAUGGGUAAAGAAGCACCGGCUAACUACGUG
Molecule: ribosomal RNA, 468 nt
Filed under: uncultured bacterium
Lineage: Bacteria
Description: partial 16S ribosomal RNA
Rfam family: Bacterial small subunit ribosomal RNA
Source: RNAcentral